Molecule: ribosomal RNA, 738 nt
Filed under: uncultured beta proteobacterium
Lineage: Bacteria; Pseudomonadati; Pseudomonadota; Betaproteobacteria
Description: bacterial SSU rRNA
Rfam family: Bacterial small subunit ribosomal RNA
Source: RNAcentral
AUUGAACGCUGGCGGCAUGCCUUACACAUGCAAGUCGAACGGCAGCAUGAUCUAGCUUGCUAGAUUGAUGGCGAGUGGCGAACGGGUGAGUAAUACAUCGGAACGUGCCCUGUAGUGGGGGAUAACUAGUCGAAAGAUUAGCUAAUACCGCAUACGACCUGAGGGUGAAAGUGGGGGACCGCAAGGCCUCAUGCUAUAGGAGCGGCCGAUGUCUGAUUAGCUAGUUGGUGAGGUAAAGGCUCACCAAGGCGACGAUCAGUAGCUGGUCUGAGAGGACGAUCAGCCACACUGGGACUGAGACACGGCCCAGACUCCUACGGGAGGCAGCAGUGGGGAAUUUUGGACAAUGGGCGAAAGCCUGAUCCAGCAAUGCCGCGUGUGUGAAGAAGGCCUUCGGGUUGUAAAGCACUUUUGUCCGGAAAGAAAUGGCUCUGGUUAAUACCUGGGGUCGAUGACGGUACCGGAAGAAUAAGGACCGGCUAACUACGUGCCAGCAGCCGCGGUAAUACGUAGGGUCCAAGCGUUAAUCGGAAUUACUGGGCGUAAAGCGUGCGCAGGCGGUUGUGCAAGACCGAUGUGAAAUCCCCGAGCUUAACUUGGGAAUUGCAUUGGUGACUGCACGGCUAGAGUGUGUCAGAGGGGGGUAGAAUUCCACGUGUAGCAGUGAAAUGCGUAGAGAUGUGGAGGAAUACCGAUGGCGAAGGCAGCCCCCUGGGAUAACACUGACGCUCAUGCACG